Molecule: long non-coding RNA, 946 nt
Filed under: Homo sapiens (human)
Lineage: Eukaryota; Metazoa; Chordata; Mammalia; Primates; Hominidae
Description: HSALNT0238928
Source: RNAcentral
CCGUCUCAAAAAAAAAAAAAAAAAAGAAGUACGUGGGGAGGCUCUUCAACAGCAGGUGAUCCGGCGGAGGGCGCGAGGUUGGGAGGGAGGACGACGGAGGGUGCGGGGGGACACGGACGCCGCCGGGCACCCCCACGCGCAUCGCGGCCCAAGCUGGGCUCUGGGAGCAGCCUCAUGACCGCUGCAAAGACGUGUUCUCAGCACAAAGAAAUCUAAAAACCACAAGAAAAUUGCAAACGCCACGAACACCUCCCCACCGAAAGCCACGAAACCCCCUCCAUGGACCACCACGAAACCCCAGUGGCUGAACACCUCGGAACCCCGACCACCAACCUCCUGGGGCCCCAGCUUGAAUACCUCCUGCGCCCAGGAUUUCACUACCUCUCCGGACAGCCCAUUCUCUCCAAAUUUCUGGACGGCAGCUCAGGCCCCUGGAUGCAGCCAUGACUGCCAUAGCACCAGAAUUGUGCCUCCAUGCUGGGCUGAUGCCCCUGCCCCCAUGCCAAGGAUGCUUUAGUAUACCUUUUGGUGCUCCUGCUGCCUCAGCCACAGGAACGCACUGGUGCACUUGGGGCAGGGUUGUCAUGGGGCUGGGUUGGGAGGGUCUACAGGUGCUGAACUGGGAAGAUUCAAGCUCAAGACUGCCACUUCACCGAUUGCCGAAUGACCACAGAGGAGUCCCUGCCUUCCUCUGGCCACAACUUGUCCCUCUGUGGAGAGGAUGAGCUGAGUGACUGAUGACCUCAUGGACGUUCUGGAUGAUUUACAAGCACAGCCUGCUUUCCCUGUUGCGUCCGCCCUGCCCUCCCCUUUCCAUGCAUUUGGCUCUUCCUGCUGCCCCCCACCAGGGGUCCACAGAGACACAGAGAUAAGCUGUGCUUUGACUUGCUUUAUUGAGCCUGUGCAGGAACAGGGAGUGAGCUUCGGCCAGAGCCAACAGUGUGGA